RNAcentral lists this long non-coding RNA (3490 nucleotides) under Sus scrofa (pig). Its description in RNAcentral is "lncRNA (ENSSSCG00005009410.1)". The record is from RNAcentral. Lineage: Eukaryota; Metazoa; Chordata; Mammalia; Artiodactyla; Suidae.
CAGUACCUGAGGCAUAUGGAGGUUCCCAGGCUAGGGGUUGAAUCUGAGCUGUAGCCACUGGCCUACACCAUAGCCACACCAGAUCUGAGCCACAUCUGCAACCUACACCGCAGCUCACAGCAAUGCUGGAUCCUUAACCCACUGAUCGAAGCCAGGGAUUGAACCCCCAUCCUCAUGGAUACUUGUCAGAUUCGUUUUCCAUUGAGCCACGACUGGAACUCCAGAUCAUGGUUCCUUUUUAUUCAGGAAACAAUUUUUAUUAAUUUAUCAAACAUUCACUGAGAGCAUAACUAUUAAAUCUUGAGGACGACUAGUGUUCUUUUUGGAUAGUGUGGGACACAGCUCGAUGUACUGACUUGUAGAAGAGGCCAAAAAAAACAUACGGUGUGCUAGCCCAGAGUGAUCCUCUGGGUAAACUGAGGCACAGGCAAUGCCUCCCUGGGGUUUACUGUGCACAAAGCCCAGGGCAGCUCUGUGAGGAGUUCCUAUCUUCCACCUGCAUCUUACUUAGGAAUUAUUUGGUUCCCUUUGGUUUAUUAGAGGCUGGAUUGUAACCCCAUGCACUGCCCCUCCUCCCCUCUCUUCUUAGAGAAGGAAAAUGUAGAGAUGGCUGCACAAAGGCCAACAUCAUGCCUUGGCUGCCUGGCUUGGAUGCUGUCACUGGGAAUUUGGUGCAGAGUCAAGGCAAGGCUGGAUGAAGAGAAAGGAAGCUAUUUAGAUGGAAAAAGGAAGGGAUGCAGACCCUCAGGCUGGACAGAGGUAGGGUAGAGGGGCAGCUAGAGAAGAGCUGUGGACCCCUCACAACAGCCAAAACAUGGAAGCAGCCUAAAUGUGCACCACCAGAGGGAUGAAUAAAGAAGAUGUGGUACGUUUCUACAAGGGAAUACUACUCAGCCAUAAAAAAGAAUGAACUACUGCCAUUUGCAGCAACAUGGAUGAACCUAGAGACUGUCAUACUAAGUGAAGUAAACCAGACAGAAAAAACAAAUAUUAUGUCUCACAUGUAGAAUCUUAAAAAAUAAUAAUAUAAAUCAACUUACUUAUAAAACAGGCUCACAGACAUAGAAAAUAAACCUAUGGUUACCAAUGAGGACGGGGGCAGGGGAGAUCAACUAGGAGUAUGGGAUUAAUCAAUACACACUACUAUAUAUAAAAUAAACAAAGAAGAAUCUACUGUCUAGCACAGGGAACUCUCUUUAAAAUCUUGUAAUAAUCUAUAGUGGAAAAGAAUCUAAAGCUGUACACCUCAAACAAACACAAUACUGUAACUCAACUGUAGUUAAAUAACUUUUUUUUUUUGUCUUUUUUUUUUUUUGCUAUUUCUUGGGCUGCUCCCGCGGCAUAUGGAGGUUCCCAGGGGGAGGGAGUGGGAUGGAAGGGGUUCUUGAGGUUAACAGAUGCAAACUAUUGCCUUUGGAGUGGAUAAGCAAUGAGAUCGUGCUGUGUAGCACUGGGAACUACAUCUAGUCACUUAUGAUGGAGCAUGAUAAUGUGAGAAAAAAAUGUAUGCAUAUAUGUGUAACUGGGUCACCAUGCUGUACAGUAGAAAAAAAAAAUUGUAUUGGGGAAAUAACAAAAAUAAAAACCCUGUUUUGACUUGAAGCCCAAAAGUGAAGGCAGCAUCUGGGUCGGAACUAGGAGGGGGUGCAUAGCCAUCAGAGCCCCUUCUUAGUUAGCUAAGCCCACCCCUGCCACCCCCAUCCAGGACUAGGUCUAGAACGACCCCCACUCCCAGAACCAGGGCCCUCAUCUAAGUGGCCAGGCUUUGGGACAGUGACUAAUGGGAAAGGGUCAUGGAAAGAAGAGCGGGGCCCAGUGAGGCCACAGGGGAUGUGCCAGCGUGGGAGGGGGCAGGAGCGGGGUCUGUUUCAUCACACCUCACACUGGGCGAGAGCUGAAGCCAAUCAAAGAAACAGAAUGUGUCGGGUACACGGCCUACGCAAUGGUUUUUAACCCUCAUUUUAUCGCUGGGGAAACAGAGGCCAGGGAGUAAGUGUGAACUCACAAGGCUAGUAAGUGGCAAAGCUCAGACCAAAACCCAAGCUUCUAACUUCGAAGCUGGGACAUCAUGCCAGGAGAUUUCAAUUUUUCUUCUCUUCUUUAACAGCAAACGAAUUCAAACAGGGAGACCCACCAUACAGAACAGAUAAAAGCAGAGUUGCACAAAGUGGGUGGGAUAUGAACUGACCCCCUAAAUUGGCCUCUUUUCCCUCUAGGUCUGCACCCCAAACUCCCAGUGGCCCCUGGGACCAUCUCCUCUGGGUGUAAAAGCCAUUGCUUCCAGCUGCUGCUCCCACAAGAGUCCAUGCACUAAACCCCCGAGAACAGAAUCUCCCUCUGCCCUGUGCUCACUCUGCUGAGGUGGGAAGGGGAGGAUGGGAUGCAGAAGUUCUUUCCCAUCCAGAGACAAGUGGGGGACAACAGGUCCCCCCACUCCUGUCCUGGCUAGGCACUGCUCAUGGGAGGUCCCCAGUCACUAGCCCACUGGCACACCUCACGGCCAAGGGACCCAAACAGCACAAGGAGCUGCUCCAUCAGCCCCAAAAGGCUGGAGCCACAAACAAGGGCCAAGCUAGACCUGGCUGAGCCAGAAGGUGGCAGAGCCUCAGCAAAAACGACAGCUGCUGGUUUCCCUUGUGCAGAUGCAAAGCUGAUCCGACUGGCAAGGUGAGGACAGAGGGUCCAGGUCUCUGGGAUCGUGUGCCAGGGACCUAGUCCAUAUCCACCCUUCCCUUCCUCACUGAACCACUGCCUCAGGGUUAGGCAUGCGGGUGCACUCUUCCCUAAGGAAAGUGCUCGCUUCCCUUGCAGCUACACUGGCCACAGGAUUAAGUUCCAGUCCACAAAAGGUAACUGCAAGUGGGCUGUGGGGUUUCUGGCAGAUGACUUGAAAAGAGGGGCUGCAGCCUUCUUGUUCCUUUCCCCUGACAGCUAGAGUGGAUUUGCCACCCUGGACCACAAGGCAGCACACAAACAGUGACAAAACCACCGUGCCGGCCUCUGUGACAGACAUAGAACUUGUUUAGUCUACUAAUCUUCACCUGAAGGAAGCUUGUGGGGGAAGCUCAGAAGCAGUCACAAGGCCCCUGCCCUUCCCACAGUUCUCUGCCUCCCAGGGGCCCUGGUCCCCCUACCACCUGCCUCUCUUCUGGAAGCAAAUGAGGAGCCUUGCAGCUGGACAGCCCAGAGCUGGCAGACAAGACCUGGGGUUCUAAACCAGCUCUCUACCACUCACUCACGCACUCAUUCGGCAAAUAGUUCAUGAAAUCUACUCCGUGCCAGGCACUGUUCUAGGUGCUGCAGCCCCAGCAGUGACCAAGAGAAGUCCCUGUCCUCGAGGAACUUCUGUUCUACUCAAGGGAGAGACAAAGAAACGAGUGCCUGUCGAGGGGCCCUGUGCUACAGAGAAAAUAACAGGGACGAGGGUGUGGGGACUAGGAAAGCCUCUCUGAGAAGGUGGCAUUCCAGGACAGCUGAAGCAGGGCGGGGG